GCGUUACUGGUGUAGCGGUCAGCAGACGCUCUCUGGAAGAGUGAGAUCUGGGUGCGAAUCCCGGUUGACGCA
Non-coding RNA from Parelaphostrongylus tenuis, 72 nucleotides. NCBI's taxonomy places the organism in Eukaryota, Metazoa, Nematoda, Chromadorea, Rhabditida, Metastrongylidae. The record is from the annotation of a GenBank genome assembly.